This 234-nucleotide long non-coding RNA is filed under the name Elaeis guineensis (African oil palm). Its description in RNAcentral is "long non-coding RNA (EGUI_LNC000346)". Lineage: Eukaryota; Viridiplantae; Streptophyta; Magnoliopsida; Arecales; Arecaceae. The record is from RNAcentral.
ACAGGGUCGAGUUAGGUUCUUGAAGUAGCCUGACCGAUACAAGGCUAGUUGAGUUCUAGGGGCUAGAACUCUUGAAGCAAGGUGAAGGAGGAGGAGGCUGUCUUUGGUCUAAUUUCUAUGUGGAUCACCAUUGGAGGAUAGACACUUGGAUGCCUCAUAAAAAUUGAGAUUAGCACUUAGGUAUUCUUUUUAUCCAAAUUUAAUUUAAUUAUACUUUGAUUGUUAUAGUCAAGG